UACGAAGGGGGCUAGCGUUGCUCGGAAUGACUGGGCGUAAAGGGCGCGUAGGCGGCCCGCACAAGUCUGCGGUGAAAACCCCCGGCUUAACCGGGGGCCGGCCGUGGAAACUGUCGGGCUAGAGGCCGGGAGAGGGCAGCGGAAUUCCCGGUGUAGCGGUGAAAUGCGUAGAGAUCGGGAGGAACACCGGCGGCGAAGGCGGCUGCCUGGACCGGCCCUGACGCUGAGGCGCGAAAGCUAGGGGAGCAAACAGG
Molecule: ribosomal RNA, 254 nt
Filed under: uncultured bacterium
Lineage: Bacteria
Description: partial 16S ribosomal RNA
Rfam family: Bacterial small subunit ribosomal RNA
Source: RNAcentral